Long non-coding RNA from Helicoverpa zea (corn earworm), 339 nucleotides. RefSeq lists it as uncharacterized. The transcript is spliced from 2 exons. Lineage: Eukaryota; Metazoa; Arthropoda; Insecta; Lepidoptera; Noctuidae. The record is from RefSeq and is a predicted model, not a curated record.
UAUAGACUGCAGUAACUGCUCAGCAACUCAGUAACACCAGCGACAUCAUGAGAACUCUUUGCCUUAUCAUCCUUGUAGUGGCGUGUGUAUGGCAGUGUGCGCGCGCGCAGGGCAGCAUAGACAAGUGCGGCCUCACACAGGAGAUGUACAAGAAUCUCAAGAGCUAUGUAUUAAGGAACUUUCCACUUUUAAUUGCUACAGACAUAUUGGAUAAAAUAUUUGCUAUUUAAAUCAAAGGUUGAAUGCAAUCUUGUUCGCACUAUGUAUUUCCAUAAUAAUUACCUAUCUGUGCUGUAAUAAAUGUAUGAACUGUAAUAAAGUAUUCAUUUGAGACAAAAA